Sebastes umbrosus (honeycomb rockfish) is the source of this 5117-nucleotide RNA transcript. It is a transcript of the gene named PDS5 cohesin associated factor A, with no coding region annotated. The transcript is spliced from 34 exons. NCBI's taxonomy places the organism in Eukaryota, Metazoa, Chordata, Actinopteri, Perciformes, Sebastidae. The record is from RefSeq and is a predicted model, not a curated record.
ACCGAGGGGGGCGCUGUGCACCCAGCCUCUCUCUCUCACACACACACACACAGAGACACAGACAGCACUGACUGAACGGAGAGCUGAGAGAGCUUUGUGCCGAAAACUAAACCAAACCUGUGUGUCAGACUAAUGAAUUAAAACGGCCCACUUCAGAGAGGCCAGUAGAAGACCGUGUGGACCAGAGGACAUCAACAAGCAUGGAGUUCCCGCAACAGCAGAAACCGGCGGGGGACGGAAAGAUCACAUAUCCUCCAGGAGUGAAGGAGAUCACGGAUAAAAUCAGCAACGAUGAGGUGGUCAAACGGUUGAAGAUGGUGGUAAAAACCUACAUGGACAUGGACCAAGACUCUGAAGAGGAGAAGCAGCAGUACCUCGGCCUGGCACUCCACCUCGCCUCAGAGUUCUUCCUCAGGAACCCCAAUAAAGACGUAAGGCUACUGGUGGCCUGCUGCCUGGCUGACAUCUUCAGGAUCUAUGCUCCCGAGGCUCCCUACACCUCCCACGACAAACUCAAGGACAUCUUCCUGUUCAUCACCAGACAGCUGAAGGGAUUGGAAGACACUAAGAGCCCUCAGUUCAACAGAUACUUCUACCUGCUGGAGAACCUGGCAUGGGUGAAGUCAUACAACAUAUGUUUUGAACUGGAGGACUGCAACGAGAUCUUCAUCCAGCUUUUCAAAUCGCUCUUCACAGUCAUCAAUAACAGCCAUAAUCAGAAGGUGCAGAUGCACAUGAUAGACCUGAUGAGCUCCAUCAUCAUGGAGGGCGACGGAGUCACACAAGAGCUGCUGGAUACCAUCCUCAUAAACCUCAUCCCUGCACACAAGAAUCUGAACAAGCAAGCGUACGAUCUUGCCAAGACUCUGCUGAAGAGGACCGUCCAGACCAUCGAGACGUGCAUUGCUAAUUUCUUCAAUCAGGUUUUAGUGAUGGGCAAGUCAUCCGUCAGCGACCUAUCGGAGCACGUCUUUGACCUCAUCCAGGAACUGUUUGCCAUCGACCCUAUGCUGCUUACCUCUGUCAUGCCACAGCUGGAAUUCAAACUUAAGAGCAAUGAUGGCGAGGAGCGUCUAGCUGUUGUGCGGUUGCUAGCAAAGUUGUUUGGCGCCAAAGAUUCAGAGCUGGCCUCACAGAACAGACCGCUGUGGCAGUGCUUCCUAGGACGGUUCAAUGACAUCCACGUUCCAGUCAGGCUAGAGUGUGUAAAGUUCGCCAGCCACUGCCUCAUGAACCACCCAGACCUGGCCAGAGACCUGACAGAGUAUUUGAAGGUGCGAUCCCAUGACCCAGAGGAAGCCAUCCGUCAUGAUGUCAUUGUAACCAUCAUCAACGCCGGGAAGAAAGACCUCAACUUGGUCAACGACCAGCUGUUGGGCUUCGUACGAGAGAGGACCUUAGACAAGAGGUGGCGUGUGCGUAAAGAGGCCAUGAUGGGUCUUGCUCAGCUUUAUAAGAAAUACUGUCUGCACCAUGAGGCCGGGAAAGAGUCUGCCCAGAAAAUCAGCUGGAUCAAAGACAAACUGCUGCACAUCUACUACCAGAACAGCAUUGAUGACAAGUUAUUAGUAGAGAAGAUCUUCGCUCAGUACAUGGUCCCUCACAGUCUUGACACAGAGGAGAAGAUGAAGUGUCUGUACUACCUGUAUGCCUGCCUGGACACAAACGCUGUCAAGGCCCUGAACGAGAUGUGGAAGUGUCAGAACAUGCUCAGGAGCCUCGUCAAAGAGCUGCUUGACCUCCACAAGCUGCCAGUGUCCGAGGCCAAUAACACAGCCAUGUUUGGGAAGCUGAUGAGUAUUGCCAAGAAUCUUCCAGAUGCUGGAAAGGCGCAGGACUUCAUGAAGAAGUUCAACCAGGUUCUGGGUGAGGACGAGAAGCUCAGAGUCCAGCUGGAGGUGCUCAUCAGCCCGACCUGCUCCUGCAAACAGGCGGAGAUCUGUGUGAGGGAGAUCACUCGGAAGUUGACGUUCCCCAAACAGCCCACCAACCCGUUCCUGGAGAUGGUUAAGUUCCUGCUGGAGCGCAUCGCCCCCGUCCACAUCGACUCUGAGGCCAUCAGUGCACUGGUGAAGCUGCUGAACAAGUCCAUUGAGGGCACGGCAGACGACGACGAGGAAGGCGUUACACCUGAUACGGCCAUCCGCUCUGGCCUGGAGCUACUCAAGGUCCUGUCGUUCACCCACCCCACAGCGUUCCACUCGGCAGAAACCUACGAGUCUCUGCUGCAGUGUUUGAAGAUGGAGGAUGAAAAAGUGGCCGAGGCAGCCAUCCAGAUAUUCAGAAACACGGGGCAGAAGAUCGAGACAGAGCUACAACAGAUAAGAUCGACUCUGAUUCCCGUCCUGCAUCAGAAAGCCAAGCGGGGAACUCCUCACCAGGCCAAGCAGGCUGUCCACUGCAUCCACGCCAUCUUUAACAACAAGGAAGUGCAGCUGGCUCAGAUUUUUGAGCCUCUGUCACGUAGUCUGAAUGCAGACGUCCCAGAGCAGCUCAUUACUCCUCUCGUGUCCCUGGGCCACAUCUCCAUGCUGGCUCCAGAUCAGUUUGCUUCACCAAUGAAGUCCAUCGUGGCUAACUUCAUUGUCAAGGACUUGCUCAUGAAUGACAGGUCGGUGGGAAAUAAAAAUGGGAAGCUGUGGACAUCAGAUGAGGAAGUUUCACCUGAGGUCCUAGCUAAGGUGCAGGCCAUCAAGCUGUUAGUGCGUUGGUUACUAGGAAUGAAAAACAACCAAUCCAAGUCGGCAAACUCCACCCUGCGCCUGUUGUCAGCCAUGCUGGUCAGCGAGGGAGACCUCACGGAACAGAAGAAGAUCAGUAAAUCAGACAUGUCUCGUCUGAGGCUGGCCGCAGGUGGAGCCAUUAUGAAGCUGGCCCAGGAGCCCUGUUACCAUGACAUCAUCACACCUGAACAGUUUCAGCUCUGCGGCCUCGUUAUCAACGACGAGUGCUACCAGGUCCGUCAGAUCUUUGCUCAGAAGUUGCACCUCGCUCUCGUCAAACUGCUGCUGCCCCUGGAGUACCUCGCCGUCUUCGCCCUGUGUGCCAAGGACCCGGUGAAGGAGCGCCGCGCUCACGCUCGACAGUGCCUCCUGAAAAACAUCUCCGUCCGCAGAGAGUUCAUCAAACAGAACCCACUCGCUCAGGAAAAACUUGUCUCCCUCGUUCCCGAGUAUGUCGUUCCCUAUAUGAUCCACCUGCUGGCCCACGAUCCAGACUUCACAAAACCACAUGAAUAUGAACAGCUCAAAGACAUCAAAGAGUGUCUGUGGUUCAUGCUGGAGGUGCUGAUGACCAAGAAUGAGAACAACAGUCAUGCCUUUCUAAGGAAGAUGGUAGAGAACAUCAAACAGACGAAGGAUGCGCAGUGUCCUGAUGAUGCAAAGGGCAAUGAGAAGCUGUAUAUCGUCUGUGAUGUCGCUCUCUUCGUUAUCGCCAACAAGAGCACUGCAUGUCACCUGGACUCUCCGAAAGACCCCGUCCUCCCCAACAAGUUCUUCAUCGUACAGGACAAGGACUUCAAAAAUGAUAAAGAGUAUCUGACGACAGAUAUGAGACAAAUGCUGCUCACUGGAAAGCCUAAAACAGCUCCAGUGUUGGGAGCUGUGAACAAGCCUCUGACGGUACCGGGGAGGAGGAUCUUCACCAAGACGACCAUAGCCUCAGACACAGCCAGUAACACCAGCACCAACUCCUCCCCAUUGAGCUCCACAACCGUCAACAAGAACAGUAACAGCAAUGCUGCCACCGAGUCAUCAGAGAGCCCAGCGCAGGAAAACAACGAGAACCCAGUUAUCAAGAAUGAAGAGGGGAAUAAGGAGGAGCCGAGUCAGAAUGUGACCCCCAACGCCGAGACGGAAGCGUCGCCCGUCAAACGACGUGGCCGACCACCUAAAACGACGACUGCUGCUGCCGCUGCUCCUGCUGCGGUGGUUGAAAAAGAGGGAGCAGUGGCGCCGACAGCAGGCGGCAGAGGCAGGAAGAGAGCAGCUGACCCCAACUCCAACCCAACAGAUUCAAUCAACAUCAAGAUGUCAAAACAGCAGCAGCAGAAUGACGAAGGGACAAAGAGACAGAUCGACUUGCAGAGGUGGCCACAUGUGAGCAGAGAGAAUGAAACAGUGAGAAAGUGGGAGCCUGGAGAGGAGACAGGGAGAGCUGUAGAGACAGUCGCCCUCCUCCUGGGUAGCGAGGGCGACGUUGAGAUAGAGCUGGAGUCCAGCCCAGAGGAGGUUAUCAGUGGCAGGAAGGACAGAGAGAGAUACGCCGUCACACAAGGACAGAGCAGCUGUGCAGCCUGGUCCCACACACAUAGCCAGGGAGAGACCAAGUCUACAAGAGAUCCUUCUGGCAGGCAGGAAGAGCCCCACAGUGGGCUGGCAGUGAGUUGGUUUAGUCCAGGAUGUCUCUAAACACAGUGUAUCCCGCUAUAAGUCUGUACCAGACUGUCUAGACCAGCAGGAGGCAACCAUAUUUACAACAAAUUUGUCUGUUUUAAAACAUUUUCUGUUGGAAAAUGUGGUUGGUUCGUUUGCUUUCACAUCACAAACAAACCGCACCAGAGUCUGCUUGGAAGCGGACAGAGAUCCACCUUUUCAGGCGGUCUCGGUUCGGGUGUUUGGUCCACACCAGGGUUCGAUCGACAGCGUUUACAAACGCUUUAGAUUUCUUAUACCGGCUGUGCUCCAGCAUCUUUUUUCACCCUCUAUCUGAAAGGACUACUGAUUGGUCACCCAAAUCAAACUGUUCGGACCGCUCUAACUCACUUUGUUUAAGUGCGUGCCAAACUAGCCGUUAUGGAAAUGUAUUACUAGGUGACAUCACCGCGUUACGGAAGAAAAGGCAGGACUUGAAGCAAGGUGUUUCAGGCGAUGUGACAUACUAAAGGAAAGGCAAAAAGCAUAAUAGGUCCCUUUUUAAACUGAACCAAACAAGUUAGCUGUGAAAUCUCCCUCAGUUUCAACAGACGUCUGCAACAGUUUACUAUUUCUUUAAGGAAAUCCACCAUGCUUUAAGAAAAAUCGUAUUCUUCAAGCAGCCGGCGACAGAUAAUUACAUCACUGUUAGGUUGUCAUUGUGUUGUGUCGGUCACUGUGACGGGUGAAAAGAGCCGACUG